Long non-coding RNA from Hippocampus zosterae (dwarf seahorse), 1506 nucleotides. RefSeq lists it as uncharacterized. The transcript has 2 exons. NCBI's taxonomy places the organism in Eukaryota, Metazoa, Chordata, Actinopteri, Syngnathiformes, Syngnathidae. The record is from RefSeq and is a predicted model, not a curated record.
UGUGUGUGUAUAUACACGUCGAUGUUUACUGUUUCGAGAAGACAAAAGCAAUUUUUAAUGCGGUGUCUCCACAUGAUUGACGUGUAGCGCCGCGUUCGCACCACUUGGCGGCUCUUCAACUUUGACCUUUCUCUGUUUAUAUACGCGCGCGCGUUCGCAUUCGCGUCACGACGAAUGUGGCGGGUGCGCGUCGACCGCCGGCGGGGUUUCCUCCCUUUAUCCAUCGCUGAGAAAAGCCACCGUAUAAGAACCGAUGCGGCCACGGACGAUAUGUCAAUCCGGGAGCGAGCCUUCUUAGGCGUGACCUUUUGUUGUGCUCUGAUUGAGGCAAUUGCGGUCAAAGGAUGCCACUCGGGUGUGUGUGUGUGUGUGGUUUGUGCCCAGGAUGGGUGGAGUUUUCUUCUGAAGAAUGUGGCCCAUUUAGCGAGAAAUUAAAGAGAUGUGGGUCAAAGCAGCAGAACAAUAGUGUCUGUCUGUCCGUCUGUCUGCCGUCCCGGCGACAAUAGCGCCGAGUCAAAGACAUUCCUCCGAUGCCGUUUUAUAAAAAUCUCCUCCGAGGCAAAACGGCGUUCCCCACCCCGCACGUGACAGGCGAAAAUACGUGAACGGGAGAGAGAAAAUUUCACCGGCGACUUGACAGCAAGCGUGUGGCUGGCACGGUUGCUUUAGAGCGCCUCGUUGUUGCGGCGCGGAAAAAGCAUGCGGAGGGUUGUCGAGUGUUGAAUUUGAAAACGCUUCUUUUCGACUUGAAGCUCUGUUAGCAGCUGAGAUUGUUUUUGCUUUUGUUGUUAUUGCGAUGAUGGAGGCAUUUUCACUUCCUACCGCAGAACCGCUAGGGCGUGUGUGUGUGUGUGUGUAUCGUGUAGAGUGCGCGUGUGUUUGCAGUGGUCAUGUGAUGUGGGCCUUCCAAGCUGGUGAUGCGCAUCCUGAAAACAGCCAACAAGUUGACAUGGCGGCGCGUCGGCUCUCUCGCCCGCCCGCCCGCCCGCCCGCCCGCCUCGUUCUGAAGCCGUCUCCGUGAUGUCAAUUCGCGUCACGUGAUGAUUUUUGCAUAACAGCCGCUUCUCUUUUCCGCCGCGCGCUCUCGUCCGCCGCCGAACAACGCCGACGGACACCCGUGCGUCUGAAUGGAGGGAAACGUCCGAAAAGCCUUCGACAACCUUUGAGGCUAGCGAAGAGGCCAAGGGUGAGUCGUGUGUCUGCCAGACAAAAAUAAAACGAUGACUCGCUUGCUUUCCGGAACAGAUUUCUUGUCUUGUUUUUUUUUUCUCCUCAGACUUCUUUUCAGCGGCUCACCACUUCCAAUCGAAGGUGUGAGGAAGUGGGAAUUCCGCGGCUAACGGACUCCCUGAUAAAGGCGCAGGCACGCUCCGAACAUUUCGGGGUCCUUCAAAGAGAAUUCACCUGCCGAAACCAGUUUCACGUAGCAACAUCGCAUUUGGUGGACGUGCCUAUCAUGAGUCCACUAACAAAAAAAAAAAAAAAAAAAAAAAAAAAAAAACCCAA